This 77-nucleotide transfer RNA is filed under the name Aurantimonas sp. RNAcentral describes it as "tRNA-Arg". It matches the Rfam family "tRNA", at positions 14 to 71 of the family's 71-position model. Rfam says of the family: Transfer RNA (tRNA) molecules are approximately 80 nucleotides in length. Their secondary structure includes four short double-helical elements and three loops (D, anti-codon, and T loops). Lineage: Bacteria; Pseudomonadati; Pseudomonadota; Alphaproteobacteria; Hyphomicrobiales; Aurantimonadaceae. The record is from RNAcentral.
AAUACCGUUGUAUUUCAACGCUUCGCAUCAGAUUCCUAAUCUGAGGGUCACUGGUUCGAAUCCAGUCGGGAUCACCA